This 1758-nucleotide long non-coding RNA is filed under the name Carassius auratus (goldfish). RNAcentral's name for it is "lncRNA (ENSCARG00000001605.1)". Lineage: Eukaryota; Metazoa; Chordata; Actinopteri; Cypriniformes; Cyprinidae. The record is from RNAcentral.
AAGUUUGGUUCCACCCGGAAGUGUUUCCGCCCGGAAAAACAGAACACCGGAACUUCCGGUAGCGCCGUAAGAGGAAAAAUCAGGGAAUUCGAUGCACCUGUGCCUAGUUAGGGACAGCGGUCGGUGAUUGGAGGAUACGCUGGACAAGGCAGUACUUAAGGCCAAUUUAUUUCACAGUCUGGGAGCUCUUUCUGGCUGGAAUUGUAUGAUUGUGAAGACAUCGCGAACCUUAAAGGUUGAGAAGUGAACGGAUUAUACGGCGAACCGAGACGACGUGAAAAAGGGGAUUGGAAGCGGCAUUGAUGUGAGUACUAAGAGCCAGUCGAAAGUGCCCUGUAUAUUGACCUGGCGUUGUGUAGAUCUCUCCAGGAGGAGGAGGGCGGCCCUACCCCUAAUAUAGCGUGGUGGGAGAGCCGAAGGAAUACUUAUUGAAGUAGUCACAACGACGACAUCACUAGCUAGGCCGCAUUUUCCAUCGCCAGAUCCGAACCAAGCGAAGUGAAGGAAGACGGGUGUCCUUUUCGUACACUGAGUGUGGUGGGUGAGUCUUCGUGCUGUGAAAACCUAUAAUUUUGACGUGGUGCUGUAUAUUGCUGUGGGUUGCUGUGUAUUGCCGUGUGUCCUGUCAGAUAAACCCCCGCCUUCACGCACUUCGUCGCGGGAGGACAAGGAGACUGCUGGUCCUAGCCUAGUUCAGUACAGUAUAUGUUGUGAGCGUGCUUCAGAUCUCCGGAGAUAGCACGGUACGCUGUGUCCAGCCCAGAGGUGAGAGCCAUCCAAAGCAGAGUAACUGUGCUUUGUGUCCAAGUUGAUACCUGUGGAGAGGAAAGGAAAGAGAGAGUGAGUAACACAAGGAGAAACAGAGGAAACCUGUACUUACAGUACGCUGUGUUCAGCCCAGAGGUGAGAGCCAUUCAAAGCAAACUAACUGUGCUAUUGUGCCCAAGCUGAUACCUGUGGAGAGAAAAGGAAGGAGAGAGUGAGUAACACAAGGAGAAACGGAGGCAACCUGUACUUACAGUACGCUGUGUUCAGCCCAGAGGUGAGAGCCAUUCAAAGCAAACUAACUGUGUUAUUGUGCCCAAGUUGAUACCUGUGGAGAGAAAAGGAGAGAGAGUGAAUAACACGAGGAGGAAUAGAGCGAACCCUGUACUUACAGUACGCUGUGUUCAGCCCAGAGGUGAGAGCCAUUCAAAGCAAACUAACUGUGCUAUUGUGCCCAAGCUGAUACCUGUGGAGAGAAAAGGAAGGAGAGAGUGAGUAACACAAGGAGAAACGGAGGAAACCUGUACUUACAGUACGCUGUGUUCAGCCCAGAGGUGAGAGCCAUUCAAAGCAAACUAACUGUGUUAUUGUGCCCAAGUUGAUACCUGUGGAGAGAAAAGGAGAGAGAGUGAAUAACACGAGGAGGAAUAGAGCGAACCCUGUACUUACAGUACGCUGUGUCCAGCCUAGAGGUGAAAGCCAUCCAAAGCAGAGUAACUGUGCUUUGUGUCUAAGUUGAUACCUGUAGAGAGGAGGAGAGAGAGUGGAUAACGCGAGGAGAAAUAGAGCGAAACCUGUACUUACAGUACGCUGUGUCCAGCCCAGAGGUGAGAGCCAUCCAAAGCAGAGUAACUGUGCUUUGUGUCCAAGUUGAUACCCGUGGAGAGGAAAGGAAAGAGAGAGUGAGUAACACAAGGAGCAACAGAGGGAAUCUGUACUUGCAGUACGCUUAGUCCAACCAAGAGGUGAGAGCCAUCCAAAGCAGAGUAACUG